This 1432-nucleotide long non-coding RNA is filed under the name Chlamydomonas reinhardtii. RNAcentral describes it as "long non-coding RNA (CREI_LNC001008)". Lineage: Eukaryota; Viridiplantae; Chlorophyta; Chlorophyceae; Chlamydomonadales; Chlamydomonadaceae. The record is from RNAcentral.
ACAACGUCACUGCUACUCCGAUUAGGAUCAUCGCGACAACCUUCGUCGACGGGAAGCACGCUUGAAGGAGGGCGAGCAGCACGUUGAAGGCCGCGAGGGUGUCCACGACUGUGAAAAGGGGAGGAUGCCGCUAAGCCAGCUUCUCGUGCGCUGGGCCUGAGGUGAAGCCGCAGAAUGACAGCGCCAGGUGCAGAAACCACGUGACAUCCUCUGCGCAGGUUGUGCGAAAUACGUUGGGCAUCGACUGUUCAGCUGCAUCGAAAGUGUCCCCGGUACUCACCCUUGCUGAACCAUCUCUGCUCUUCCCGCAGCGCCUGGAGCUCGGCGCGUAUUUCGGCCCUGAGUGCUGCCAGCUCCUCCUGGAACUGCUGCGGCUGCUGCGGCUGCUGCGGUACCGCGUCCAUUUCAGCAGUCGGAAUUAAGCAAAGUCUUUCGAGGAGUUAGUGCGUUUCCGGUUUGGUCAGCCGCAGACACUUGAUCCCACAAUUCCAGCGACUUUUGCGACCGGCUCUCCACCGACCGCUUGGAUGCUUGCGCCCGGUCGCUGCCCCAGCUACUUCCGCGGUGAAAUAACAACGGUGAGCACUCUCAACCACUGCGAGGACAGCCCUAGCAACCGCACUGCGUAAGAAGUACAGCAUCGAUUUGCUGCAUGUUGAUUUUGGCGCAAAUGGGGGGUGCAAGCAGUUUGUUUCUCUCAGACGCGAGCUAGCGCCCAAGCGCGCGAUAUGGGGGCGAGGAGCCACUAUGUAGCUGUAACGAUUGCAUGAGUGGCGAAUUUUACUUCGAGGGUCUAGGGUGCGAGCGGAGUGGGAUUACCCCCCGAGGGGCACGCCAUGCGCUCAGGCCCCAUGCAACAGAAAUUCGCCGGGCACCAACCCACGCACAGAUAAUUCAUAGGACUACACCAUAGCCAUCAGAGACCGGCCGGGAACAAGCCCCGCAAGCGGGGCAGCAUGGGCGCGACACCACCCUGCCGCGCCAACUCACCCCAAACACGCCCCAACCACUUGUGCGACACAAGGGCUACCAUACAGUAGCGCGCGACACCUAAUCGCGUGCGCCGGAGUGUGCGAGCAAACAUUGUACGGAGGAGCUCGUUUGGGCCCUAGGACGCAGGGCCUGGGCUGGCAUUUGGUGCAUUCAAUAGAGCAUAGAAAACCGAGGCCACAUAUGUGCUCGGGUGCGCAAAGGUCGGCGGAAUUGUGGGAUCAAGUGACGUGGAAAUGGAUCUGGGGGACUGCGGGGUUUUGGGGUGUGUUGGGUUGGUGGCGUGAAGGGUGUGAUUUGUGAGGAAUUUAUCGAUGCAUGCCAAGUUGCACGCCUUUCCCCUGUGUUUCCUACAUGCCCCUGAACCCUCCCUUUGCUGGCUGCAGGCGAAGCGACAAGUGGUACCGCUGGUACCACCCACGGGGGCCUUGUGCCCAAGCCG